CUCGCCUCCCAUAUCUUGUUCACAAACACCUCCGACCCCCGCACUCGCUAGACGUUAACCCUUUCGCUGCUCCUCGAUACCGUCAGCAUGGGAUGCAACAGCAGUAAGACGACGUCGACAGCUGAAAGGACAACACCCUCAGCCCCUGCAGGAGGGUCAGAAAAAGGGACCGGGCAGGUGGAAGAAGAUGGUGGCGGUGCAGGUGCUGUCCCAGCCGCUUCCGAAGUAGAACAAGGGGCGGACUAGCAAUAGUUGAACGUCAGGAUCGACUGGCGAAUUACAUACAGAUCCACAGUGUGAAAAAUAAUUGGUCUGUGAUAUGAAGGUUGCCUUUUCGAAGCAGCACUCAGAAUUGACUGGCACUCUGGCUAUGCAUGCAUGUCAUGACUUGCAGUUUUGUGCUGGAACUGUAUAUUACUUAACUUCUCAUUACUGCUAUAUUUCUAUGCAUAACUCAUUUUGAGAAAGAAAAACCAACAGUAUUUUAGAGAACAGUAUUAAGAUAGAUCAGAUUAUUUAUUCACGGGUUGUUUCGACGUGUUGAAUAUGUUGAAGAUCUUUAUGUAGUGUACUUUGUUUCCUUGACAUUAUCAUGUCAAUUGGCUUCAGUCAAUGGAUCAGUAGGCAUUCACUUGUUAUACAGUGUUGAUUAAAAGAUUACCUUUUUGUCAUAGCCAAAAGAAUAACAUAUCACUUAAUUUUGUUAAUACCAUUUACAAUUUAUAAAGUAAAAAAAAAAACAGAACAAAAGUAUGAAAUAUUAACUUCUGUCUAGUUGGGUUGAGUGCUGUCACAUGUUUGGGAACUAGCAAGGCAGUGUUCACAUCCAACACUUAAACUUCUGCAAUAUCAUCUAGCUCAUAUUGUUUUUAUAUUUUUUAUAUAAUCAUGGUAACAAAGUUUAUAGUUUACUUAACUGCUUUUAAGUUUCCAGCACAGAGUGAAGGUACACUGUUUUGUUAAGGUAAUAUUUGUAUGUUUACUCAACGUUGUUAAGUAAUUUAAGUGACAACAUGGUUGUGAAGUUCCUAGGAAGAAACAGUAAAGAACUACUGGAAGAACAUGGA
Molecule: long non-coding RNA, 1067 nt
Organism: Pomacea canaliculata
Lineage: Eukaryota; Metazoa; Mollusca; Gastropoda; Architaenioglossa; Ampullariidae
Exons: 3
Source: RefSeq, a predicted model, not a curated record